AUGAACAAGACAGAACAGAAAAGGAAGACAAAGGGAAAGACAGCAAGGAAAGCAAAAAAUAGAGCUUCAUUUUUGAUAUAUUGUUUACAGCCUGUGAAAGUGAUUUAUUUGUGUUAAUAAAACUCUUUUGAGGAAGUCUAUGCCAAAAUCCUUUUUAUCAAAAUAUUCUCGAAGGCAGUGCAGUCACUAACUCUGAUUUCCUAAGAAAGGUGGGCAGCAUUAGCAGA
RNAcentral lists this long non-coding RNA (227 nucleotides) under Homo sapiens (human). RNAcentral describes it as "non-protein coding lnc-SCN1A-4:1". The record is from RNAcentral. Lineage: Eukaryota; Metazoa; Chordata; Mammalia; Primates; Hominidae.